Long non-coding RNA from Lucilia sericata (common green bottle fly), 645 nucleotides. RefSeq lists it as uncharacterized. The transcript has 3 exons. The record is from RefSeq and is a predicted model, not a curated record. Lineage: Eukaryota; Metazoa; Arthropoda; Insecta; Diptera; Calliphoridae.
UAGUUGUGAUAAAUGUGAUUGAUCAUUUAGUUUGAAGUGAACUUUUGUAAGAGAAUGAUCGAGUUUAAAUUGAUAAUAAAAAAUUAUAAAAAAAAUAUAUUGUGAAAUUGAUAAUUUAGUGAAAAUAAUAAAAUAAAGAUUUGUGAAAUUAAAGAAAAAUAAUAAAUAUUUGUGAAAUUAACAAUUUAAUAAGAAAUUGUGAUGUAUAAAAUGUACUUUAAUUUCAAUGCGUAAUAAUUAGUGUAAAACGUUUUUUAUUAACUUGAAGCUAAAUUCAAGAUGGUGUCUUCUUCUAUUUGAAAAUAGUAAAGUUCUAAGACAAUCCAGUCACGUCCCAUCAUCGACAAAAACAAAAAAAUUAGUGCGUUUUUACGCUCAAUAAACAGGGUCAAUAUGUGAAUUCAAUUGACUGAAUGACAGGGCUUUCGUUCAAGGAGAUGUUGAAACUGAGAAGAUGAACAGAUGAACAGAAAAUACAAAUACGAAAAGAAAGAUAAUUUUAUUAUAUUUUCAACUGAUUUUCACUUGUUGCACGCUUCUUUAAUUACACUCAAUUGCGAAUUACCAGAGUACAGUACAUAUCAACGAUUAAAAUCAAUUCAUACAACAAACAACUGCAGCAACAAAAACACAACAACAACUGCA